Molecule: long non-coding RNA, 1101 nt
Organism: Onychostoma macrolepis
Lineage: Eukaryota; Metazoa; Chordata; Actinopteri; Cypriniformes; Cyprinidae
Exons: 5
Source: RefSeq, a predicted model, not a curated record
AGAGCAGCUCUCAGACCUAUAUGAGAGAAAAUGAUAGAUACAGGACCAUCUCUCUCAUCUAGGUCAGUGGAUGAUGGAAGAGAAAACAUAUUGCCGCUACUGUCACAGCUGAAGGCUUCCUGGCAUAUGGCUGUUUGGAUUGAUGUUCUCUGCGCAAGCUCAAGCCUGGAGGGCUGCAAGACACACGUUGUGCUGUGACAAGUCAUCACCGUCCUCUCCGCAGCCUUGAGCUCAGCAAGGUCAGCAGAUCACGGCCCCCCUCAUCUCAUGACUGCUGCUGUCCGCUCUCACCUCACUUGUCCAGAUGGCCUUCUGGGAAAGAGUGAAACCGGAGUUUCAUGAAUGCACAUCGUGCACCAAAGACCAACGGCCAAGGUUGAUGCUGGUCAAUAUUCUCUUCCAUUGGAUGAGCAGCGAGCAGGAUGUUUUCUCCUCUUGUGGUUUGAAAAAAAAGAAGGGCAUAAAGCAUUAAAACAACACCAGGUCCAGGUCUUCACAUCCGCCCUCCUCUGGAGUACCGCAGGUCGUCUGCAGAUCCCCACCUGUGGCAUCACACAACACAGCAGAGACAGACAGUUUAAUGAUGGACACAGAGAAAGCAGAAGGAAGACAAAGAGAAAAAAGGAACAAAGAGACAACCGAGGAAUGAGAAGAGGAAAGAGUGGUGGAGAAAGAGAAAGGAACAAAGAUAAGACAGAUUGACAGUGAAUUUGUUUACAUGGACUGCAGUAAUUGAGCUGUUGACUUUCACUCAGUUUUGCUUCCAUGUUAGGAGCCAUAACCUGAUAACAGGAAAAGUUCACCCAAAAAUGUUAUUCCAAACCUUUAUGCUGUUAUAUCUUAUGUGGAACAUAAAGAGAUUGUUUUUUUUAGGAAAUCCUACAGAGGGAUAGUUAAUAUUGAGCACAACUGUCAAGCUCCCCAGAAACAGAAACAGAACCCCAGAAAAAGCAUCAUAAAAGUAGUUCAUAUGACUUUAUGAACAUUCAGUGUUGCUGGGAUUUCCACAAUAAGUCCUGUAGUGUUAUUACUGUUAACUAAAAACUAAUUAUUACAUUUUUUAUUCAAUAAAAUAAAACAAAUUUUAGGUUAAAAGAAAAU